This 450-nucleotide ribosomal RNA is filed under the name uncultured bacterium. RNAcentral's name for it is "partial 16S ribosomal RNA". It matches the Rfam family "Bacterial small subunit ribosomal RNA", at positions 338 to 795 of the family's 1533-position model. The record is from RNAcentral.
CCUACGGGUGGCAGCAGUGGGGAAUAUUGCGCAAUGGGCGAAAGCCUGACGCAGCGACGCCGCGUGGGUGAUGAAGGCCUUCGGGUUGUAAAGCCCUGGCGGGUGGAACGAACGAUCUGGCGGCGAAUAACCGCCGGGUGUGACGGUACCACCGAAGGAAGCACCGGCUAACUACGUGCCAGCAGCCGCGGUAAGAAGUAGGGGGCGAGUGUUGGUCGGAUUUACGGGGCGUAAAGCGUGCGUAGGCGGCUAACUCCCUCGGCUUAACCGAGGUCCCGCAUCCGAUACUGUCUGGCUCGAGUCUAGGAGAGGAAAGCGGAAUUCCCAGUGUAGCGGUGAAAUGCGUAGAUAUUGGGAGGAACACCGGUGGCGAAGGCGGCUUUCCGGACUAGUACUGACGCUGAGGCGCGAAAGCUAGGGGAGCGAACGGGAUUAGAUACCCGAGUAGUC